RNA transcript from Cucurbita moschata (crookneck pumpkin), 2680 nucleotides. RefSeq lists it as uncharacterized. The record is from RefSeq and is a predicted model, not a curated record. NCBI's taxonomy places the organism in Eukaryota, Viridiplantae, Streptophyta, Magnoliopsida, Cucurbitales, Cucurbitaceae. The transcript has 9 exons.
CAAGAAAAGAUCAGAACCCCUUUUCCCUCCCCUAAACCUCCCGCCCCUCUCUCUCCGCCUUCGAUUUUUCAAAUCAUUCAAUCCGGGUCGGACAGUUCCUCACCUCUUCUGCGCUUCUUCCAGAUCUGUCUCAUGGACGCCGUAUAUACUGAUCACGAUCGCCGUUUUAGCCGUCUCAGCCUCAUCGAUUUCGCUUCCGAGGACGAUUUGCUAAUCUCUUCUCCUUCCUGCGACUUCCAUGACGCCAAUUCUUUAGGCUUUGCAAAGGAGGAUGAGGAACAGGACAAUUUUGAACGAUUAGAGACUGUGGAUUCUAACAGAAUAGAGGAAAGAACAGAUGGCUUCGAACAGAGAGAGGAUGAACCUCAAUUACUCCCAUCUUCGGAACCGGAAAGGAUCGAAAGAAAUGGGAAAUAUAACUUGCGUAAGAGUUUAGCAUGGGAUAGUGCUUUCUUAACUGGUGCAGGGUUUUUGGAUCCUGAAGAGUUAACUAGCAUGAUUGCACCAGUGGGCAGGCAUGAAAAACGUGUAUUACCCAUAAUUCCAGAAGAUGUUCUGAAAUCUUCAGAUUCAAUUUCUACAUUGGGUAGUGAAAUUAUGCCAUUGGAAAGCAUUGAGGGCAAUUUAUUCGAAGAUGUUAGGGCUUCAAUUCAGAAAUCUAGUAGAACAAUUGGGAAAUCUAACUCGAGGAUUAAAGUUGAAUCCGGGCGACAGGGAGCACUAAAACUGCCUUCUCCAGGACGGCUUGAUCUUACUUCACAAAAUAAGAUAAAGGACGGGUCUGCGUCCAGUAAGCAAAGUGAUGGGUUGCAAGGACCUAGGAGAACCACUAAGCAGAAUUCUUCACAACCACGCGAGGCACAGCAACUGAAGGCAAUGGGCAAGCUUCCUUCAAACUCAACGUUGACCAAGAGGCCUUCACUUGCCGCCACUGUGAAUGAUAGUACUACGAGUGGUGCAGGAUCUGCAGAUGGGCAGGAUUCAGUUGGUCUUAGAUCUACUACACACAAGCUUUCCCGACUUCCAACUGCCGGCACGAGGGAGCAAAAGACUUCCUCUGAAGUUUCUAAAAGUUCAUCUAUCAAGGUCGGUAAAUCUUCCUCCAAAGAUGCAAGGAUAAAAACAGAUUGUAAGGCUUCACCUUCCUCUGGUAGCACUCAGAAAACACAAUCUCGAGUUGCACCUAAGGUCAAGACUCGUAUUGGGAAUUCUCGUCUCCCUUCCUACUCGAUAUCUCAAAGUAAGCAUUCUUCAGGAAUAUCAUCUGCUAGCUCUAAAAGUGAGUGGUCGACAGAGUCGUCAUCAAAUUCCACUCAUGAACUUCAAUCUAAUAGCUCAAGAGCCAGCCUUCACUCAAUUUCGAGCAAAAGAAUCUCCGUAGACAGCGAUGCAUCUCAUGAUGGAAGUAACCCUGCUGUUGGAUCCCAUACUCAAACUACUGGCUCAAUAAAGCCUUCGGGCCUUCGAUUGCCAUCACCUAAAAUCGGGUACUUUGAUGGGGGGAAAACUUCUAUCAUGAAAUCUAAUGUGUCUGUACCUGGUGGCACGACUAGGAUUGGAGCUGGAAAUGUCAGCGCAAUUGGAGGCCAAAAUAAGACCAAGCCUUCGAAGCUUCAACCUGUUACAGUGUUGCCCAAGAGCACAACUCGUGCUGUUAGUCAGCCUAAUUUGAAUUUGAAAUCUCAUAAAACCACUGCAACUAAGAUGUCCAAAACGAAUGAACUCGACCAAGAAGUCAAAGAGCUUGGUUGUGAUGGAUCAAAUACUGAUAUGCAUAAUUCAGAUGUAUGUGCGAUUUCAAUUGCCACGAGGAAGAUGAGCCUAGAAAAUGAAGCAGGAAGUAAUGCAAACGAAACGACAUCAGCGAAUACUGAUGGAGAACUUAACGGAUUACAAAACUUCGGGACCUGAUGUUGAUGGUAUACUUCCAUUUCAGAGGAUCCUUGAAUGUGAUAAGAGAAUUUGUUCAAGAGGGUUCAAUGUAAUACCGUGGAAAGAAUUCAUUACGAAGCCAACUGUAUGCUCUUGCAGAAGCUGCGGCCUCAGAUAUGGAUCAAGUAAGACCCAUCUUGCCAUCUAAGCAGACCGUUCUUAGAACAAACAGUUCUAAUGUUGUGGCCUGUCCAGGUGUGUCCGUCUGGGGUUUCUGGUGGAAUGUGAAGUUCUGCUGUGCUGCAUUUGAGCAUCCGAUACCAAUUACAUGGAGACGUUGAGUGAUCUGAGUUGGUAUUGUGUGUGUCGUCAACUGCUUGUGGGUUUUGGGAACAAGAUUGACCAGUGAUUCGAAUUGGGAUCGUCAUGUUCGUCAUGCUUGUGAGCUUUGUGAACAAGAUUGACCAGUGAUUUGAGUUGAGUAUCAUUGUGUUCUUAAUGCUUCUGAUAGCUUUGGGAACCAGAGUGACCAGUUAUUCGAGUUGGUAUCGUCGUGUUCGCUGUGCUUGUGAGCUUUGGGAACAACAGUUUUGAAAGAUUGAAGAGGUGUUUGGUUACGUUAGUUUCACACCAUGCGGAACCCAGAAAUGGUUGGUAUGUUUGAACCUUGUUAGUUCAUGAAUAGUACUGUAGAUGUUCCUCUUUUAACCAUUUUGCUGAACUAAACAUUUCUUAUUUCACAGAAUGGUGUAAUUGAAUGAUAAUUUUGUAGGAGUUAAUAAAAAAAUAAAUAGAAUUGAUGUACGAA